RNAcentral lists this non-coding RNA (29 nucleotides) under Mus musculus (house mouse). The record is from RNAcentral. Lineage: Eukaryota; Metazoa; Chordata; Mammalia; Rodentia; Muridae.
UAAAAGUCUUGUCUUCCUGCGUCCAGUGC